UCCUCGUUAGUAUAAUGGACAGUAUCUCCGCCUGUCACGCGGAAGAUCAGGGGUUCGAUUCCCCGACGGGGAG
Etheostoma spectabile (orangethroat darter) is the source of this 73-nucleotide non-coding RNA. The record is from the annotation of a RefSeq genome assembly. Lineage: Eukaryota; Metazoa; Chordata; Actinopteri; Perciformes; Percidae.